RNAcentral lists this ribosomal RNA (497 nucleotides) under uncultured bacterium. RNAcentral describes it as "partial 16S ribosomal RNA". It matches the Rfam family "Bacterial small subunit ribosomal RNA", at positions 28 to 507 of the family's 1533-position model. The record is from RNAcentral.
GAUGAACGCUGGCGGCGUGCCUAAUACAUGCAAGUCGAGCGAACAGACGAGGAGCUUGCUCCUCUGACGUUAGCGGCGGACGGGGGAGUAACACGUGGAUAACCUACCUAUAAGACUGGGAUAACUUCGGGAAACCGGAGCUAAUACCGGAUAAUAUAUUGAACCGCAAGGUUCAAUAGUGAAAGACGGUUUUGCUGUCACUUAUAGAUGGAUCCGCGCCGCAUUAGCUAGUUGGUAAGGUAACGGCUUACCAAGGCAACGAUGCGUAGCCGACCUGAGAGGGUGAUCCGCCACACUGGAACUGAGACACGGUCCAGACUCCUACGGGAGGCAGCAGUAGGGAAUCUUCCACAAUGGGCGAAAGCCUGACGGAGCCACGCCGCGUGAGUGAAGAAGGUCUUCGGGUCGUAAAACUCUUUUAUUAGGGAAGAACAAAUGUGUAAGUAACUAUGCACGUCUUGACGGUACCUAAUCAGAAAGCCACGGCUAACUCCGUG